RNAcentral lists this ribosomal RNA (379 nucleotides) under uncultured bacterium. RNAcentral describes it as "bacterial SSU rRNA". It matches the Rfam family "Bacterial small subunit ribosomal RNA", at positions 30 to 417 of the family's 1533-position model. The record is from RNAcentral.
AUUGAACGCUGGCGGCAUGCCUAACACAUGCAAGUCGAACGGGUUGUAGCAAUACAACUAGUGGCGGACGGGUGAGGAAUACAUAGGAAUUUGCCUUUAGGUGGGGGAUAGCCCGGGGAAACUCGGAGUAAUACCGCAUGAUGUCGCAAGACCAAAGCCGGGGAUCGCAAGACCUGGCGCCUUUAGAGAAGCCUAUGUCGGAUUAGCUAGUUGGUAGGGUAAUGGCCUACCAAGGCGACGAUCCGUAACUGGUCUGAGAGGACGAUCAGUCACACCGGAACUGAGACACGGUCCGGACUCCUACGGGAGGCAGCAGUGGGGAAUAUUGGACAAUGGGCGAAAGCCUGAUCCAGCAAUGCCGCGUGUGUGAAGAAGGCCU